UUACUUACCUGGACGGGGUCAACUUGUGAUCAAGAAGACGAGUGGCCUAAGCUAGUGACUUCCAUUGCACAAAAAGGAGGGGUGCUUAGCUUAAGGUCUCCCCAAGUGGGAGAGCCUGCGUCAUUAUUUGUGGCAGAGGGGGCCUGCGUUCGCGCGGUCCCUAC
Molecule: small nuclear RNA, 164 nt
Organism: Arabidopsis lyrata subsp. lyrata
Lineage: Eukaryota; Viridiplantae; Streptophyta; Magnoliopsida; Brassicales; Brassicaceae
Rfam family: U1 spliceosomal RNA
About the family: U1 is a small nuclear RNA (snRNA) component of the spliceosome (involved in pre-mRNA splicing). Its 5' end forms complementary base pairs with the 5' splice junction, thus defining the 5' donor site of an intron.
Source: Rfam